This 158-nucleotide non-coding RNA is filed under the name Trichomonas vaginalis G3. RNAcentral describes it as "Eukaryotic small subunit ribosomal RNA". It matches the Rfam family "Eukaryotic small subunit ribosomal RNA", at positions 1650 to 1831 of the family's 1831-position model. Lineage: Eukaryota; Parabasalia; Trichomonadida; Trichomonadidae. The record is from Rfam by way of RNAcentral.
UCCCUGCCCUUUGUACACACCGCCCGUCGCUCCUACCGAUUGGAUGACUCGGUGAAAUCACCGGAUGCUUACGAGCAGAAAGUGAUUAAAUCACGUUAUCUAGAGGAAGGAGAAGUCGUAACAAGGUAACGGUAGGUGAACCUGCCGUUGGAUCAGUU